UGGGGAAUUUUGGACAAUGGGCGAAAGCCUGAUCCAGCCAUUCCGCGUGCAGGAUGAAGGCCCUCGGGUUGUAAACUGCUUUUGGACGGAACGAAAAGCGCCUGGCUAAUACCUUGGCGUCAUGACGGUACCGUCAGAAUAAGCACCGGCUAACUACGUGCCAGCAGCCGCGGUAAUACGUAGGGUGCAAGCGUUAAUCGGAAUUACUGGGCGUAAAGCGUGCGCAGGGCGGUGAUGUAAGACAGAUGUGAAAUCCCCGGGCUCAACCUGGGAACUGCAUUUGUGACUGCAUCGCUGGAGUGCGGCAGAGGGGGAUGGAAUUCCGCGUGUAGCAGUGAAAUGCGUAGAUAUGCGGAGGAACACCGAUGGCGAAGGCAAUCCCCUGGGCCUGCACUGACGCUCAUGCACGAAAGCGUGGGGAGCAAACAGGAUUAGAUACCCUGGUAGUCCACGCCCUAAACGAUGUCAACUGGUUGUUGGUCCUUCACUGGAUC
This 494-nucleotide ribosomal RNA is filed under the name uncultured bacterium. RNAcentral's name for it is "bacterial SSU rRNA". It matches the Rfam family "Bacterial small subunit ribosomal RNA", at positions 355 to 841 of the family's 1533-position model. The record is from RNAcentral.